Molecule: ribosomal RNA, 207 nt
Filed under: uncultured bacterium
Lineage: Bacteria
Description: partial 16S ribosomal RNA
Rfam family: Bacterial small subunit ribosomal RNA
Source: RNAcentral
CGCGUAGGCGGCCUGGUAAGUCCGGAGUGAAAGUCCUGCUUUUAAGGUGGGAAUUGCUUUGGAUACUGCUGGGCUUGAGUGCAGGAGAGGAAAGCGGAAUUACCGGUGUAGCAGUGAAAUGCGUAGAGAUCGGUAGGAACACCAGUGGCGAAGGCGGCUUUCUGGACUGAAACUGACGCUGAGGCGCGAAAGCGUGGGGAGCAAACA